GUCACUCAUUUUAGGACUACUUCCGUCCUAAUACAUUUAACUCUUUUAAGGAUCUAGCCACCACCUAAAAUGCUCAAGCUGAAUUAAGAGUAGUAGCCUUAUUAUAUCAUAAUAUAGAACUAUAUGGGAUCUCACACCCCCUCCCCCCCCCUCCCCCUUCUAAACUCUGACAUUCUCGUUAGGCUCAGACUCAUAAAUAUCAGGAACCGACCUUAUGGAAGAGCCGCAUUUUACCCACAACAGUGAAUCAUAUGAGAGUCUCGUUCUCUCCGCUAUAUACUUCUGGCUCAGUCGAGACUCAUCUCAUACCAACUGGUAAUUGACUUUAAUACCAAAUAUAACGAUUCAACUUUCCAGAAGGUCACCUAUCGUAGGACUACUCCCAUCCUAGCACGCUUAACUUUCUUAACAUUUUGGACCUAAUCAACAUUCAAAAUGUUCAAACUGAGUUAAAAAUAUUAGCCCAAUUAUAUCAUACAUAAAUAUAUAGAACUAUCC
Molecule: long non-coding RNA, 498 nt
Filed under: Ananas comosus (pineapple)
Lineage: Eukaryota; Viridiplantae; Streptophyta; Magnoliopsida; Poales; Bromeliaceae
Description: long non-coding RNA (ACOM_LNC021811)
Source: RNAcentral